CACACGAGUUUGAUCCUGGCUCAGAUUGAACGCUGGCGGCAUGCUUUACACAUGCAAGUCGAACGGUAACAGGGAGCUUGCUCCGCUGACGAGUGGCGAACGGGUGAGUAAUGCAUCGGAACGUACCCAGUCGUGGGGGAUAACGUAGCGAAAGUUACGCUAAUACCGCAUACGUCCUGAGGGAGAAAGCGGGGGACCGUAAGGCCUCGCGCGAUUGGAGCGGCCGAUGUCGGAUUAGCUAGUUGGUAGGGUAAAGGCCUACCAAGGCGACGAUCCGUAGCGGGUCUGAGAGGAUGAUCCGCCACACUGGGACUGAGACACGGCCCAGACUCCUACGGGAGGCAGCAGUGGGGAAUUUUGGACAAUGGGCGAAAGCCUGAUCCAGCCAUGCCGCGUGAGUGAAGAAGGCCUUCGGGUUGUAAAGCUCUUUCAGACGGAAAGAAAUCGCAUCUUCUAAUACAGGGUGUGGAUGACGGUACCGUAAGAAGAAGCACCGGCUAACUACGUG
RNAcentral lists this ribosomal RNA (508 nucleotides) under uncultured bacterium. Its description in RNAcentral is "bacterial SSU rRNA". It matches the Rfam family "Bacterial small subunit ribosomal RNA", at positions 1 to 507 of the family's 1533-position model. The record is from RNAcentral.